This 202-nucleotide long non-coding RNA is filed under the name Elaeis guineensis (African oil palm). Its description in RNAcentral is "long non-coding RNA (EGUI_LNC081268)". Lineage: Eukaryota; Viridiplantae; Streptophyta; Magnoliopsida; Arecales; Arecaceae. The record is from RNAcentral.
GAUCUCAUUCAAGAUGUUACUAACAGUUAUGAUAUUCAUGGUUUGAGUUCUAUGGUUGAUGCCACACCAAUCUUUGAUCCACCAUGUGUGCAGGAGAAAGGAGUAACAAAUGAUCAAAUAAAGAGUAAUUUAUAGAAGAAGCACAAGCAAAAAACAACCAAAGAAUACUUGCAGCGUAAAAAAAUCUAGUAAGUGAAACCUU